GGCGCGUGUGAGAUGCAGCUGGGUUGGCGCGUUGGGACCCGGUUCCGGAUGGCGGUGGUUUGCCAGUGGUGAGCGAGCAUGGAGACCGCUGCGGACGCCGGGACCCGUCCCGUGGGCGCGGGGACGCUUGCAGGCGCGGGGACCCCGCCAGGCUUGCAGACCGACUGCGAGGCGCUGCUCAGCCGCUUCCAAGAGCUGGACAGCGUGCGCUUCGAGGACUUCGCGGAGCUCUGGCGCAGCAUGAAGUUCGCUACUAUCUUCUGUGGCAAGAUGAGGAACUUGAAAAAGAACAUGUUUACAAAAGAGGCUUUAGCUCUGGCCUGGCGCUAUUUUUUGCCUCCAUACACCUUCCAAAUCAGAGUUGGUGCUUUGUAUCUACUAUAUGGGUUGUAUAACACGCAGCUGUGUCAGCCAAAACAAAAGAUCAGAGUCGCCCUGAAGGACUGGGAUGAAGUUAAUAAAUUUCAGCAAGACUUGAUAAAUGCACAGCAUUUCGACGCAGCCUUCAUUUUCAGGAAUCUUCGACUGGACAGAGCCUUCCACUUCACAGCAAUGCCCAAGCUGCUUUCAUGUAGAAUGAAGAAAAAAAUUCAGCAAACUGAAGUGACCCAAAAGUUUAAGGACCCAAGUGAUCGUGUAAUGAAACUUAUCACUUCUGAUGUAUUAGAGGAAAUGUUGAAUGUUCAUGAUCAUUAUCAAAAUAUGAAGCGUGCUAUCUCAGCUGAUAAGUCGAUGCCAGACAAAGCCCUCAGCCUGGUAAAGGAGGAUUUUUUUGACAACAUUAAGAACAUAGUUUUGGAGCAUCAACAGUGGCACAAAGACAGGAAGAAUCCGACCCUAAAACCAAAACUUAAAGAGGGAGAAGAAGACAGUGAAGGCCCUUCACAGGAACCAGAGAGAUGUGAAAGAGCGGAGUCCUUAGCAAAAAUCAAAGCAAAAGCCUUUUCAGCUGUUGCCCAGGCAUCCAAGUCCAGGAGGCAUCGCCAAGCCAAACUUGACUCUUCGGACUCUGAUUCCGGGUCUGGACAAGGGCAAGGCAAAGCAGCUAAGAAAAAAAGAACCAGAGAGACAGCAGCAGAACCAAGAGGAAGGAAGAGGGCUUCCAGGAGCAGAGCAGGUAAAGGUGCUUGCUGCCAAGCCCGACAGCCUGAGAUUAGUUUUCCGGACCCUGAUGGCAGUAGGAGAGAACCAGUUUUCAAAAGUUGUCCCGUGACCUCCACAUGCACACUGACACAGGUAACGUUCAGAAUGAACGGAAGGAAGAGAAGUCUUUAUGCCUGAGUAUGCCCAUAAUUGCCGAAGAGGAGGAGGAGACUGACAACUUCAGCGAAGCAGAGUUCACUGCACCCAAGAGGAAAAGAAAGCGCUGACCAGGAGCCUGGUGGAGUUUUAUUUCAAUUCUGAGCUUUCUUACAGAAGAACAGGUUUGUUUUGUUCUGAGCAGGAGGCUGGCCAGCGAGGACCAACGUACGAGAAUGAGGUCAUUUCUGUGAAAUGGGAGAGCCCGACAUAGGUCAAGAGUUGGAAUACAAGUUUAUUCUGAAGUUUAAUUUAACAUUUCUGUUAAAAGUCUGUGUGAAUGGAGAUAAAGUUUGCAUUUAGAAUGUAAACAAAGAAUUGUGCAUUUGUGGGUUUAUACUAUUUCCCGAAAGUUUUUGUGAUAUCACCUUAAUGCAUCACUGCAAUAUUUUCUAUCCUAGUUUAAAAAAUUUUCUUAAAAUAAUUUUUAUACAUAAAUGACUCAUACCUGUCACCUAGCAAUGGAUUGGACUGUGGUUUAGGUUUAAUAUUUUAUGUGUUAUUAUGGUUAGGUGCAAUAAAAUUUUUGUCCCACUUGCUUUA
This is a non-coding RNA of Cricetulus griseus (Chinese hamster), 1842 nucleotides long. The record is from RefSeq and is a predicted model, not a curated record. Lineage: Eukaryota; Metazoa; Chordata; Mammalia; Rodentia; Cricetidae.